GUGUGGGGCCUGCAUCUCUGUGAACCGCUGUUUGCCACUAUUUUUGGAGAAAUAUUUACAAAGACACUUCUGAUGCGGCAGGAGAUUUGAGAUCACAGAGAGCCGUCGACAUAACGCAGUAUCAGACACCGUGUGAAAUCUGUUAUUAUUUGGCUGGGGUUGCCCUCGCCAAGGACCACGGACUGAGUGGCUUAAACCACAGAAGUGUAGCGUCUCAUGAUUCUGGGGGCCAGAGAUCGAGUGGCGAGACCUGGCAUGGCUUUAUUUUUUGUGAAGGCCUCUCUCUCUCUUUUGCUUGUGGACGGCUGUCCUUACCCUGUAUCUUCACAUGGGCUUCCCUUUGUCCACGCACCCCCUCUGCCCUUCUAAGGACACCAGGCAUAUUGCAGUCAGGCCUGCCCUAAUGACCUCAUGUAAUCUUAAUUAUCUCUGUAGAGACCCAAUCUCCAAACGCAGUCACAUUUUGCUGGACUAGGAGUUAGGAAUAGAGGAAUCUGAGGGGGACCCUCAUAUUAACAUAAGAAUUUGAGGAGGACCCAGGUCAGUCCAGAAGAGUGUAUCCUGGCAACCCUGACUCCCUCUGACCUAAGAGAAAGCCAUACUUUUCCUAAGUGCCCUCCUGGAUGUGGAAAGAUCAAACCCCAGUUCCCUCGUGUCAGGUGGCGCUUUACAUUCUGAAACUGCCCACACAUUUUGAAACUGAAGGGGGGCGGGAAAAUGUGUUCAAAUCUAUCUAGACUCACAAUCCUCCCCUUUGCCAUUUAGCCUCUUUGCAUGCUAAGAAACCUUUGAAAAUGACAAGGCAAGUUUGAAAUGUUUCAGCUUUAAAAGAGCAAAGAGCAGUGCCCCAAAGAUGCCACCUCCUGGGCUCUGCUUCCUCCGAGGGACUGUCCCUGAGAUCCCAAACCUCCCAAGACACAGGCCUCCAGUGGCGGCAGUGGGGCAGGGGGAGGACAGGUCGUGGGAGGCCCCACACCUGUUCAUACUCUAAGGGAAGGCACAGUGAGCCUCUGGGAGUAGAAGCAACUUCAGAAGUGGCGGCUGAGCCAGGAUCUAACCUGCCAGAAGCCUGGGAGAGCUUUGGGCAAGCAAGUUUGCAGCCAGGAGAUUUCUCUCUUCUCUGGAAAUACCUGCCCCUUCACUGAGGAAGCAAGUGACAUUGGGGCCGAGGGAGGCCAUUGCACAGAGAAGGGCUUGGGGGAGGGUGUCAGUCUUGAGGACAGAGUCCAAGAAUUUGUAAGAACAGCCAGGACCAGAAAAGAGAAGGGGCGGGGGCUACACGGGGAGCACACACAGACUCAGUACAGUGAUGCUCUUUUUUCUCUCAGUCUGUUUUUCUGGCUUUAGCCAAAUAAUACAAAGCAGCUUCUCUCUUGAGCCUCAGUUUCCUCAUCUAUGAAACAAGGAUGGUAGUAGGACCUACAGUUAAAGUAGCUGCGUAGACUAAAUUAAAUAAUGCACGCAGUACAGUCAUAAAAAAUGGGCAGUUAAUGUCAGCCGUGGCUAUUGAUGUUCAAUUUUCUUUUAAAAAAAUUCUUUUAGGAGUUCCCAUCAUGGCGUAGCAGAACUGAAUCCAACUAGGAACCAUGAGGUUGCGGGUUAAAUCCCUGGCCUUGCUCAGUGGGUUAAGGAUCCGGCGUUGCCGUGAGCUGUGGUGUAGGUCGCAGACAUGGCUCAGAUCCUGCGUUACUGUGGCUCUGGCAUAGGCUGGAGGCUACAGCUCUGUUAGACUCCUAGCCUGGGAACCUCCACAUGCCGCGGGUGUGACACUAAAAAGACAAAAAGACAAAAAAAAAAAUUUUUUUUAAUUGAUUUACAAUGUUUUGUUACUUUCUGCUGUACAACAAAGUGAUCCAGUUUUACAUACAUACACAUUGUUUUUCUCACAGUAUCUUCCAUCAUGUUCCAUCACAAGUAAUUGGAUAUAGUUCCCUCAUGCAGGACCUCAUUGCUUAUCCACGCCAAAUGCAAUAGUUUGCAUCCACUAACCUCAAACUCCCUGUCCCUCCCCCUCGGCAACUACAAGUCUGUUGUCUUUGUCCAUGAGUUUGUUUCUGUUCUGUAGAUAGGUUCAUUUGUGCCAUAUUUUAGAUUUCACAUAUAAGUGAUAUAUAUUUUUUUUGUCUUUCUUUUUCUGACUUAUUUCACCUAAGUCAUGAGAAUCUCUAGUUCCAUCCAUGUUGCUGCAAAUGGCACUAUUUUGUUCUUUUUUAGGGCCGAGUAGUAUUCCAUUGCAUAUAGGUACCACAUGUUCAUUUUUCUAAGCUGAUGCUCCAUCAGGCUGUCUAUCCUCAGAAAGGAGAGGUGGCAACACGCUGGAGGACCCUGGAAGAGACUCGCUGGAGACAGAGACCCAGGCGUUGAGGAGGAGGGUGGUGUGGAGGGUGAGAACCAAGAGGAGAGGGAAGGGGCAGCCAGGUGGGGGUCGAGCCUGGGCAAAGUCAGGGUGGCAGGGCCCCAGUGGGAUGUGGGAGGUGAUGAGCCCCCUCUUCAACCUCAUGUCACCCUUGCUCUACUUGCAAGGACCCAUGAAGAGGACAGACAAGAGAGGGCCCUUUAUGUAACCCCACAAGCUUAGCUUGCAACAUCGAGGCCAAAACGGAGGCCUGCGGUAGCAGGAAUACUGACAAGUUUCUCCUCCCUGAGAGCCUGGUGUUGCUUGACUCUCCUAAAGCCCCUUCUUAAUGGAAAUGCCCUCCACCUGGUGGCCCUCCGCAGGCUCCUCGGCUCUGGGCAUUUCUGACCAAGCAUUUGUCACAGCAGUGAAGACACCUCAGUUGCUGGUUGGUCGUGUUGGGGGUGGGAGUAGAGGCUGCACAGGAAACUCAAGCAAAUUUUUCAGUUUCUCAGGUGACUUCCUAGUGACCUAGAUGAGUCAUUAGGUGUCUCUGCGUCUCCUUUGGGUUCUGCAAAAGGGGCCGGUAAUAUUCUAGAGCGCUUACCGCCAAAGGACAGAGUUCCUGCCUGACAUCUUUGAACGCGUCAGAGAGAGGGACCCUGAAACAAGUCACAAAUGGUCUCGGUUUGACAACAUGAAGCGACUAGGUUUUAAAAUUAUUUCCCUUCUGGUUAAAAUUGUUAACAUAGCUGUUUUUUGUUUUGAAAAUGAAUUAUUUUCUGGUAGGAAAUAGGGGUCCUACCCUUUCACACAUGGCAGGCAUUUUCCCAUAUUCUCUCAAAAGAAAACUUUUUUUUCCAACGCCCAUUCUUCAGAGAACUCUCCAGAAGCUGCUCUGGUACCUGAACCUAUCUUAAUAUCGGCAACACACUUUUUCUGAAAUGCUUGUUCCUGAAGUUCCCCUGUCCCUUCUCCUUGGGGCUGCCAAUCCCCUGCUUCAGCCUAUUUUCUGAGUAAAACAAACCUCAAGCAAUGUGUCUUUCUUGACCCUUCCCCACUCCCACGCCUCCAAAGUAUGCUGUCCCACCCAGGUAGAAAGGGGACAUUUCCUAUAAGACCUUUGCAGACUGUGAAUAAAGUCAGAAGGUGCUUUCAGGGAACAACAGUUGGUUCCUGAACUAUUUGGAGUUCCUGUCCUGGCUCAGUGGUAACGAACUGGCGUAGUAUCCGUGAGGAUGCAGGUUCAAUCCCUGGCCUCGCUCAGUGGGUUAAGGAUCCAGUAUUGCCGUGAGCUGUGGUGUAGGUCGCAGGAGCAACUGGAUCUGGCAUUGCAGUGGCUGUGGUGUAGGCUGGCAGCUACAGGUCCAAUUUGACCCCUAGCCUGGGAACCUCCAAAUGCCAUGGUUGAGGCCCUCAAAAGACAAGAUAAAUACAUAAAUAACUUUUGACACACUGGAAGAGUAAGCUGGACACCCCCCUGGAUGGCACAGACUUCCCUCUUCAUGCACAAACAUCCUUUUAACUUCCUGAAUCUUUCCCUUCCCCUCUGUUCUCCCGAUAACACUGAAUGAUGCCAGAGAAAGAAAGAAGGAACUCAGGUGGGAAAAUAAACCCUGCAUCCCAAAGGCGACUGAAAUGAUGCAUAUCCUUACAGCGACAUUAAGAGCAGAAAGCUCUGGGGAGUUCCCGUAGUGGCUCAGUGGUAAAGAACCCCCAACAGGUAUCCGUGGGGACACCAGAGUUCGCCACUGAGCAAGGCCUGUGCUCCAUCUUUGGCCUUGCUCAGUGGGUUAAGGAUCCAGCGUUGCCUUGAGCUGUGCUGUAGGCUGAAGACGUGGUUGAGAUCCAGCAAGGCUGUGGCUGUGGCGUAGGCCAGCAGCUGCAGUUCCAAUUGAGCCCUAGCCUGGGAACUUCCAUCUGCUGCUGGCCUGGCCUUAACAAGACGAAAAAAAAAUAAAUAAAUAAAAGGAGAAAGCUCUGGCCAGGCUUUACCGGUGAGAGCUGUGUUUGGCUGUACAGUACGGGAGAUCUAACUGCAGUGGCUCAAGCAGCCGGGCGUUGGGCCAGCGCUUGCGAGGGGUAGUUCUGGAGUGAGUGGGCCAGGACUCGUAUUAAGGGGCCGGGAGGCUCCUGUGUUCGGGUUCCACCCUGAGGCGGCCCACCCUUCAGGUCUGUCCAGGCAGGAAGCAGAUGGGAGGGGCCUCCAACCCUUCUCCUUGUGGGGCUCCAUCUUUCUAUUCAGGAAAGGAAGCCCCUUUCUGCAAACUCCCCCUUAUGGGUCUCGUGUGCCAGAACCAUUCUCACCUGGCUGGAAGGUGCACUGGACAGUGGACUUUUCCUUGUCAGCCUGCAGAGGGGAAGGUGGUUGGCAAUGAAUGGCCAUCCGGGGAGCCCAGAGCCGCAUCUGCCAUGGCAGACUGUCCCCAGGCAGAUACCCCGGUCUUUCCGGGGGACGCCUUGUCUCCUAUGUUCCCUGUGUCACCAGUGCUUUGAAAAUACAUGAGUUCUUCCUUUAGUCCUUCUUGGAAGUUGUAAGUGGAUUCUGGGUGUUGUGGGUGUGAUAAUUUUUCUUUUUCUUUCUUCGCUUUAUAAUGAAGGCCCCUUCAAGUAAAGUUCUCGUAAUUUUUUUAAUUGAAGUAUAGCUGAUUUACAAUGUUGGAUGUUAGUUCCAGGUGUACAACAGAUGUGUUUAUACUCUUUUUCAGUUUCUUUUUCAUUAUAGGGUAUUACAAGGGGUUGACUGUAUGUCCCUGUCCUGUACGGCAGGUCCUCGUUGUUGAUCUGUUUUAUAUCCAGUAGUAUGAAUCUGUUAACCCCAAGCUCCUACUUUACCCCUUCCCGUAUGCUUUAUUCUUUUUUCAUUUUUUAAAGUUUUACUGGCGUCUGGUUGAUUUACAAGGUGGUGAUCAUUGCUGCUGUACAGCAAAGAGAGUCAGUCAUACACGUACACACAUCCAUUCUUGUGCAGAAUCUCUUCCCCCGUAGGUGAUCACAGCAUCCUGGGUAGAGGUCUCUGUGCUAUACAGCAAGUCCCCAUUGGCCAGUCAUUCCAUACACCACCAUGUGCAUGUGCCAUGCCCUCCUCCCUCCCUCCCCCGACCUGUCCCCUUUGGUAACCGUAAGUUUGUUUGUUUCCAAAGUCUGCCUACCCUUUAUGCUUGAUUUUCUGAAAGCAAAACAGGGAGGAGAUGGGAUGGGGCAGGGCAGGGGGCUGGUUAAAGGGGAGUCGGGGUCACAUCUAUUUUCACGAUCAAAACUCAGAAGCACACUUACCUCUCAUAGUGUUAGAAAAGAAAAACAGCCAGCUUUGUAUGGAUGGGAGUGUUGCUUGUAUCAAAGCCACUGCACUUGGCCCUGGGGUUGAUGGAUCUCUUUGUAACUGGAAAUAGUUUCCUUUUUGCUCUUCCUCACUCCUUUGAAUUCUCAAAACCCCACGGCCCAACAGCCCUACAUCUUUUUCAAAAGAGAAUUCUUUUCUACAAAAUUUCUUGAGGGAAAUUUUCUUUCAAGUCACCCUCCUUAAAUUUACCUAAAGAUGUUUCUAUCUUUGAUGGAAAUACGACCACCAGAUAAUACUCCUCUAUCUAGGAGAGAGAGCACUUAUUCAUACCUUAUAGUCCUGCAAGUUACAGAUUACUUUUGCUUUGUAAUUACUGGCCCUAUCUGCUUCUUGAGUCUAGAUACAAAUCUACCUCCCUAGAAGCCA
This 6044-nucleotide long non-coding RNA is filed under the name Sus scrofa (pig). Its description in RNAcentral is "lncRNA (ENSSSCG00025033535.1)". Lineage: Eukaryota; Metazoa; Chordata; Mammalia; Artiodactyla; Suidae. The record is from RNAcentral.